GAUGAAGAACGUAGCGAAAUGAGAUAAGUAAUGCGAAUUGCAGAAUUUCCGUGAGUCAUCGAAUCUUUGAACGCACAUUGCGCCCACUGGUAUUCCGGUGGGCAUGCCUGUUCGAGCGUCAUUAUCCUCCCUCAAACCCCGGGUUUGGUGUUGGACCGAAGUUGUGUGAACAACUGGUCUAAAAAACAAUGACGGCGUCCGUGGGACCCUCGGUGCAACGAGCUUUUAGGAGCACGCGCCGAGUUGCAAGGACCUUCCGGGCCGGUCUCCUUUUACUAUUUUACAAGGUUGACCUCGGAUCAGGCAGGAAUACCCGCUGAACUUAAGCAUAUCAAUAAGCGGAGGA
This 346-nucleotide unclassified non-coding RNA is filed under the name soil metagenome. RNAcentral describes it as "partial contains 5.8S ribosomal RNA, internal transcribed spacer 2, and large subunit ribosomal RNA". The stretch from base 1 to 121 matches the Rfam family "5.8S ribosomal RNA", at positions 35 to 154 of the family's 154-position model. The record is from RNAcentral.